CGAGAUGUAGCUCCGUCUCGUGGGCUCGGAGAUGUGUAUAAGAGACAGCCUAUAAGACUGGGAUAACUUCGGGAAACCGGAGCUAAUACCGGAUAAUAUUUUGAACCGCAUGGUUCAAAAGUGAAAGACGGUCUUGCUGUCACUUAUAGAUGGAUCCGCGCUGCAUUAGCUAGUUGGUAAGGUAACGGCUUACCAAGGCAACGAUGCAUAGCCGACCUGAGAGGGUGAUCGGCCACACUGGAACUGAGACACGGUCCAGACUCCUACGGGAGGCAGCAGUAGGGAAUCUUCCGCAAUGGGCGAAAGCCUGACGGAGCAACGCCGCGUGAGUGAUGAAGGUCUUCGGAUCGUAAAACUCUGUUAUUAGGGAAGAACAUAUGUGUAAGUAACUGUGCACAUCUUGACGGUACCUAAUCAGAAAGCCACGGCUAACUACGUGCCAGCAGCCGCGGUAAUACGUAGGUGGCAAGCGUUAUCCGGAAUUAUUGGGCGUAAAGCGCGCGUAGGCGGUUUUUUAAGUCUGAUGUGAAAGCCCACGGCUCAACCGUGGAGGGUCAUUGGAAACUGGAAAACUUGAGUGCAGAAGAGGAAAGUGGAAUUCCAUGUGUAGCGGUGAAAUGCGCAGAGAUAUGGAGGAACACCAGUGGCGAAGGCGACUUUCUGGUCUGUAACUGACGCUGAUGUGCGAAAGCGUGGGGAUCAAACAGGAUUAGAUACCCUGGUAGUCCACGCCGUAAACGAUGAGUGCUAAGUGUUAGGGGGUUUCCGCCCCUUAGUGCUGCAGCUAACGCAUUAAGCACUCCGCCUGGGGAGUACGACCGCAAGGUUGAAACUCAAAGGAAUUGACGGGGACCCGCACAAGCGGUGGAGCAUGUGGUUUAAUUCGAAGCAACGCGAAGAACCUUACCAAAUCUUGACAUCCUUUGACAACUCUAGAGAUAGAGCCUUCCCCUUCGGGGGACAAAGUGACAGGUGGUGCAUGGUUGUCGUCAGCUCGUGUCGUGAGAUGUUGGGUUAAGUCCCGCAACGAGCGCAACCCUUAAGCUUAGUUGCCAUCAUUAAGUUGGGCACUCUAAGUUGACUGCCGGUGACAAACCGGAGGAAGGUGGGGAUGACGUCAAAUCAUCAUGCCCCUUAUGAUUUGGGCUACACACGUGCUACAAUGGACAAUACAAAGGGCAGCGAAACCGCGAGGUCAAGCAAAUCCCAUAAAGUUGUUCUCAGUUCGGAUUGUAGUCUGCAACUCGACUACAUGAAGCUGGAAUCGCUAGUAAUCGUAGAUCAGCAUGCUACGGUGAAUACGUUCCCGGGUCUUGUACACACCGCCCGUCACACCACGAGAGUUUGUAACACCCGAAGCCGGUGGAGUAACCUUUUAGGAGCUAGCCGUCGAAGGUGGGACAAAUGAUUGGGGUGAAGUCGUAACAAGGUAGCCGUAUCGGAAGGUGCGGCUGGAUCACCUCCUUU
RNAcentral lists this ribosomal RNA (1467 nucleotides) under Staphylococcus aureus. Its description in RNAcentral is "bacterial SSU rRNA". It matches the Rfam family "Bacterial small subunit ribosomal RNA". Lineage: Bacteria; Bacillati; Bacillota; Bacilli; Caryophanales; Staphylococcaceae. The record is from RNAcentral.